Molecule: ribosomal RNA, 152 nt
Filed under: Zalaria obscura
Lineage: Eukaryota; Fungi; Ascomycota; Dothideomycetes; Dothideales; Zalariaceae
Description: partial 28S ribosomal RNA
Rfam family: Eukaryotic large subunit ribosomal RNA
Source: RNAcentral
UUGACCUCGGAUCAGGUAGGGAUACCCGCUGAACUUAAGCAUAUCAAUAAGCGGAGGAAAAGAAACCAACAGGGAUUGCCCUAGUAACGGCGAGUGAAGCGGCAACAGCUCAAAUUUGAAAUCUGGCCCUUUCAGGGUCCGAGUUGUAAUUU